UACGUAGGGGGCAAGCGUUGUCCGGAAUCAUUGGGCGUAAAGAGCGUGUAGGCGGCUCGAUAAGUCUGCUGUGAAAGUCCAGGGCUCAACCCUGGAAGGCCGGUGGAAACUGUCGGGCUAGAGUCCGGAAGAGGCGAGUGGAAUUCCCGGUGUAGCGGUGAAAUGCGCAGAUAUCGGGAGGAACACCAAUGGCGAAGGCAGCUCGCUGGGACGGUACCGACGCUGAGACGCGAAAGCGUGGGGAGCAAACAGG
Molecule: ribosomal RNA, 253 nt
Filed under: uncultured bacterium
Lineage: Bacteria
Description: partial 16S ribosomal RNA
Rfam family: Bacterial small subunit ribosomal RNA
Source: RNAcentral